UACAGAGGUCUCAAGCGUUGUUCGGAUUCAUUGGGCGUAAAGGGUGCGUAGGCGGCGCGGUAAGUCGGGUGUGAAAUCUCGGAGCUUAACUCCGAAACUGCAUUCGAUACUGCCGUGCUUGAGGACUGGAGAGGAGACUGGAAUUUACGGUGUAGCGGUGAAAUGCGUAGAUAUCAGGAGGAACACCCGUGGCUAAGGCGGCUCUCUAGUACGGUACUGACGCUGAGACGCGAAAGCGUGGGGAGCGAACAGG
This 253-nucleotide ribosomal RNA is filed under the name uncultured bacterium. RNAcentral describes it as "partial 16S ribosomal RNA". It matches the Rfam family "Bacterial small subunit ribosomal RNA", at positions 524 to 776 of the family's 1533-position model. The record is from RNAcentral.